This 24-nucleotide non-coding RNA is filed under the name Arabidopsis thaliana (thale cress). The record is from RNAcentral. Lineage: Eukaryota; Viridiplantae; Streptophyta; Magnoliopsida; Brassicales; Brassicaceae.
UCUUGGUAUACCGUCUCGUAUUAC